AGUGAACGCUGGCGGUAGGCCUAACACAUGCAAGUCGAACGGCAGCACAGUAAGAGCUUGCUCUUACGGGUGGCGAGUGGCGGACGGGUGAGGAAUACAUCGGAAUCUACUUUUUCGUGGGGGAUAACGUAGGGAAACUUACGCUAAUACCGCAUACGACCUACGGGUGAAAGCAGGGGAUCUUCGGACCUUGCGCGAUUGAAUGAGCCGAUGUCGGAUUAGCUAGUUGGCGGGGUAGAGGCCCACCAAGGCGACGAUCCGUAGCUGGUCUGAGAGGAUGAUCAGCCACACUGGAACUGAGACACGGUCCAGACUCCUACGGGAGGCAGCAGUGGGGAAUAUUGGACAAUGGGCGCAAGCCUGAUCCAGCCAUACCGCGUGGGUGAAGAAGGCCUUCGGGUUGUAGCCCUUUUGUUGGGAAAGAAAAGCAGCAGGUUAAUACCCCGCUGUUCUGACGGUACCCAAAGAAUAAGCACCGGCUAACUUCGUG
RNAcentral lists this ribosomal RNA (490 nucleotides) under uncultured bacterium. Its description in RNAcentral is "partial 16S ribosomal RNA". It matches the Rfam family "Bacterial small subunit ribosomal RNA", at positions 29 to 507 of the family's 1533-position model. The record is from RNAcentral.